Molecule: ribosomal RNA, 256 nt
Filed under: uncultured bacterium
Lineage: Bacteria
Description: partial 16S ribosomal RNA
Rfam family: Bacterial small subunit ribosomal RNA
Source: RNAcentral
UACAGGGGGGGCAAGCGUUGUUCGGAAUUACUGGGCGUAAAGGGGUCUGUAGGUGGCCAACUAAGUCAGACGUGAAAUCCCUCAGCUUAACUCGGGGAACUGGCGUCUGAUACUGGAUGGCUUGAGUGUGGGAGAGGAAUGCGGAAUUCCUGGUGUAGCGGUGAAAUGCGCAGAUAUCAGGAGGAACACCGGUGGCGAAGGCGGGUCUCUGGGUAGUAACUGACGCUGAGGAACGAAAGCGUGGGUAGCGAACAGG